This 1007-nucleotide long non-coding RNA is filed under the name Homo sapiens (human). RNAcentral's name for it is "non-protein coding lnc-BORA-25:1". Lineage: Eukaryota; Metazoa; Chordata; Mammalia; Primates; Hominidae. The record is from RNAcentral.
AUGGCGCCCUGGACGCUGUCUCGCUGCUGCCACUGCGUCAUGGGCUGGGUGCCGGUGCUCCUCAUCACCUUCGUGGUCAUCUGGUCCUACUACGCGUACGUGGUGGAGCUGUGCGUGUUUACUAUUUUUGGAAAUGAAGAAAAUGGAAAGACCGUGUUUUACCUUGUGGCUUUCCCUCUGUUUUUUUUAUGUUUGUAUGGUCCUAUUGGAUGACAAUUUUCACAUCUCCUGCUUCCCCCUCCAAAGAAUUCUACUUGUCCAAUUCUGAAAAGGAACGUUAUGGAAAAGAAUUCAGCCAAGAAAGACAACAAGAAAUUUUGAGAAGAGCAGCAAGAGCUUUACCUAUCUGUACCACGCCAGUUUCAAAAACUAUCAGAUAUUGUGAAAAAUGUCAGCUGAUUAAACCUGAUCGGGCGCAUCACUGCUCAACAUGUGACUCAUGUAUUCUUAAGAUGGAUCAUCACUGUCCUUGGGUGAAUAACUGUGUGGGAUUUUCUAAUUACAAAUUCUUCCUGCUGUUUUUAUUGUAUUCCCUAUUAUAUUGCCUUUUCGUGGCUGCCUACAGUUUUAGAGUACUUUAUAAAAUUUUGGACGAAUGAACUGACAGAUACGCGUGCAAAAUUCCACGUACUUUUUCUUUUCUUUGUGUCUGCAAUGUUCUUCAUCAGCGUCCUCUCACUUUUCAGCUACCACUGCUGGCUAGUUGGAAAAAAUAGGACAACAAUAGAAUCAUUCUCUGCACCCACAUUUUCAUGUGGACCUGAUGGAAAUGGUUUCUCUCUUAGAUACAAUAAAAAUUGGAGACAAGUCUUUGGUGAUGAAAAGAAAUAUUGGCUACUUUCAAUAUUUUCAAGCUUGGGUGAUGGUUGCAGUUUCCAACUCGCCUUGUAGGGAUGGGUCCAGAACAAGCUUCUGUUACAAACCAGAAUGAGUAUGCCAGAAGUGGCUCAAAUCAGCCUUUUCCUUUCAAACCACUUAGUGAAUCCAAAAAACUCUUGUUGGACAGU